CGGGAUGAGAGUCCCGUAGGAGUGUGGCCGAAGUAACUUUGGCUGAACCGUGAA
This is a non-coding RNA of Methanococcoides methylutens MM1, 54 nucleotides long. Lineage: Archaea; Methanobacteriati; Methanobacteriota; Methanomicrobia; Methanosarcinales; Methanosarcinaceae. The record is from Rfam.